AUAAUAUAUUAAUAUAUUUUAAUAAAAAAAGGAAAAAGUCUCGAAAAAAAAAAAUAAGACCGUUGAUAAAGCUGGCAUGUUGCAUGAACAUUCUGGAACCAGACCUUUAUUACUUUAUUACUACCAAAAAAAAAAAAUGAACGGUGAGAUGCUGAGAUUAAAAAUGGACGGUUAGAUUAGGAGAAGAAGUAAAACCUAAAACUAAACCUAGAGAAAACUCACUAGCACACACGCCUCAUUUGUCAUUUCCUCAUCUCUUUGAUAUUCUCAAACAUCUCUCUCUCUCCUAACCUCCUAACCCUAGCUAUCUCCCUCUUCAUCUGAAUCUCUCAAGCUUUCUCAAAUUCUCAGUUCUCACGCCUAUGAAACUCUCAUUUCCUCAUUUGAUAUUUUCAUUUAGUCUUAAAAUUUCAGAUUUUUUUUUUGGAAGGUCUAAUUCUUUUGUUCAUUUAUUCCGAAUUGAUUAAUUUCUGUUUUUUUUGUAGAUCUGUCAUAUACUCAUAUUCUACUCACGGCAAUAUAAGAUCUUUUUUCUGGAUAUUCUCAAACUUCGAAUUUUUCUGAUCUUUCAUAUUCUCUACUCACGGACGAUAUAAGGUAUUUGUAUUUUUCAUUCUCAUUCUAAGUUCCUAUUAUUUUUUCUAAGUUCUGUUUUUUCAUUUAUUAUUUUGUAA
Chenopodium quinoa (quinoa) is the source of this 674-nucleotide long non-coding RNA. RefSeq lists it as uncharacterized. The transcript is spliced from 3 exons. NCBI's taxonomy places the organism in Eukaryota, Viridiplantae, Streptophyta, Magnoliopsida, Caryophyllales, Amaranthaceae. The record is from RefSeq and is a predicted model, not a curated record.